This is a long non-coding RNA of Arabidopsis lyrata subsp. lyrata, 166 nucleotides long. RefSeq lists it as uncharacterized. The record is from RefSeq and is a predicted model, not a curated record. The transcript is spliced from 3 exons. NCBI's taxonomy places the organism in Eukaryota, Viridiplantae, Streptophyta, Magnoliopsida, Brassicales, Brassicaceae.
AAUCGAAUUGUUUGUCAUGCAUAUAUUGUUUUCAUGGUCCUUUAAAGAUUUGUAGAACGUGGGAGGUUCCAUCGACAAAGCUUUCGGACGAAGGUGGUGUUGAUGAGAACAGAACGAGGUUUGGAAAGUAAAUCUUCAUCUUCAACAAUGAAAAGGAGGAAUAAGG